CCUACGGGAGGCAGCAGUGAGGAAUAUUGGUCAAUGGACGAGAGUCUGAACCAGCCAAGUAGCGUGACGGAUGACUGCCCUAUGGGUUGUAAACUUCUUUUAUAUGGGAAUAAAAUGUUCCACGUGUGGGAUUUUGUAUGUACCAUAUGAAUAAGGAUCGGCUAACUCCGUGCCAGCAGCCGCGGUAAUACGGAGGAUCCGAGCGUUAUCCGGAUUUAUUGGGUUUAAAGGGAGCGUAGGUGGAUUGUUAAGUCAGUUGUGAAAGUUUGCGGCUCAACCGUAAAAUUGCAGUUGAAACUGGCAGUCUUGAGUACAGUAGAGGUGGGCGGAAUUCGUGGUGUAGCGGUGAAAUGCUUAGAUAUCACGAAGAACUCCGAUUGCGAAGGCAGUUCACUGGACUGCAACUGACACUGAGGCUCGAAAGUGUGGGUAUCAAACAGGAUUAGAUACCCGAGUAGUC
RNAcentral lists this ribosomal RNA (460 nucleotides) under uncultured bacterium. RNAcentral describes it as "partial 16S ribosomal RNA". It matches the Rfam family "Bacterial small subunit ribosomal RNA", at positions 338 to 795 of the family's 1533-position model. The record is from RNAcentral.